AACGGUCUAUACCUGCGGUACCUGCGGAGGGAUCAUUACCGAGUCCUGCCCCCCGGGCAGAUCUCCCACCCACUGUGAUCACUACUCUCGUUGCCUUGGCGGGCACUAGCCCGCCAGAGGGACCCCUAAACCCUGAUUGUUGGUGUUGUCCGAGUCCAGUUUAUAGCGAUUAAAACUUUUAGCAACGGAUCUCU
This 194-nucleotide unclassified non-coding RNA is filed under the name soil metagenome. Its description in RNAcentral is "partial contains 5.8S ribosomal RNA, internal transcribed spacer 2, and large subunit ribosomal RNA". The record is from RNAcentral.